Molecule: non-coding RNA, 404 nt
Organism: Pelobates cultripes (western spadefoot toad)
Lineage: Eukaryota; Metazoa; Chordata; Amphibia; Anura; Pelobatidae
Source: the annotation of a GenBank genome assembly
GACUUUUACUGAAUUGAUUCAAGGCAUCACUUUUCAUGUACUAUAUUAUUGAAUAGCCCUCCUUUUUGUAAUAGAUUUAAAAUGCACAGAGUGAGUGUGACACACCCAUCUCUGUUUUCAGUGUGCCUACACUCUUUGUUUUUAAGAAUGUACUUACAUUUUGAGGGGUUGUUUUUGCCUUCUUUGGAUAUCGAUUUCUCAUUAAUCUCUUUGCUUACUUUCUCUCUAAGCCACAUUGGUUUUAAUUAGUUUUUUAUAUUUAUUACCCAGAGGUACAUACUGAGAUUGUACUUUGCUAAUAUUUGUUUGAAGCUAUUCCAUUUAUCUUCAGUGGGGUUUCUCCCCAUAUUCUGCCUAAAAUAAUAUUUCUAGAUUUCUAAUAGCUUAUUCUAAACAAGACUGAU